AGAUAUUACACGUUUGCUGGAAAAGGAACUGCGUUGGUGACAUGGAUGGUGUUUAAAGAUGUGACUCUAUCAUUUAGAAUGAUGAUUGAUCAGCCAACAUCACCAGAUAUGGAUUUGACAAUGUCAUUGAUAGAACGAUACGUGGUUUUGUUGUACGAUCGAACAAACUUAUCAGAUGGGGUUAACGAAGCAAGAAAAAAUGUGUUUUUGGAAGAGGAAAUACUUAUUGAGGCUAUUCCCACGACUCGGUCUAGUCUUUUUCAGCAAGUAAAACGUGCAAUAUACCAUGGCGGAUGUGAAUGAGUAACAAGCUUGGUAUUGGUUCCUUUUCUAACUAGUCCAUCCCUUAUGAAUGGCGAAGGGGAAAAUAUUAUCCAUGGCACCCUUUUCAACAACUCUUUUGUGAGGCCUCUUAAUCUUAUCAGGAGCUUGUACAUUAUAGAUGUAGGAAACAAUACCACGAUCUUUGUAAAUUUGGAAAAUAAGCUCUCCGAUUGUGAGUAAACAUGUAUAUGCGGCCAUAAAUAAGUCAUUCUAAAGAUGUUUAACAACUUUAGUGAUUUUAUUUUGUUUUAAUCAAUCUAUCCAAAACUCUACAUCGAAUAUAUGGAUUGAGGACUCAUCUUUGUAAUUUUCGCCAUAUUGAUUUUUUACCGGAA
This 659-nucleotide long non-coding RNA is filed under the name Mytilus galloprovincialis (Mediterranean mussel). The record is from RNAcentral. Lineage: Eukaryota; Metazoa; Mollusca; Bivalvia; Mytilida; Mytilidae.